Telopea speciosissima is the source of this 305-nucleotide long non-coding RNA. RefSeq lists it as uncharacterized. The transcript has 2 exons. The record is from RefSeq and is a predicted model, not a curated record. NCBI's taxonomy places the organism in Eukaryota, Viridiplantae, Streptophyta, Magnoliopsida, Proteales, Proteaceae.
GAACAAGAAGUUCUUGGCCUCGUCGACGGGUAAGAGAUGCAAGAAGGAAUCCAUGUAAGAUUGUGGCUUGCAACUCGGACAAUAAUGGAGCCGCUAGAGAGAAUCGGACCUCUGCCUCCUCAGUUUCUCGUACCCAAACUUAUGCUAUUUUGAAGCAAUAGAUGGAAGUUGCGGCCAAAUCCAAGAAUUGCAAGGAAGCUGCCAGAAUUAGGGAUUCAUUGAGGUCAUUUGAGGAAGAAGAGCCCGUUUUGCGCCUUAGAAGAUUGAUGAAAGAGGCAAUUGCUGAUGAGAGGUUUGAGGUACAU